This 74-nucleotide transfer RNA is filed under the name Marinicauda pacifica. It matches the Rfam family "tRNA". Rfam says of the family: Transfer RNA (tRNA) molecules are approximately 80 nucleotides in length. Their secondary structure includes four short double-helical elements and three loops (D, anti-codon, and T loops). The record is from Rfam by way of RNAcentral. Lineage: Bacteria; Pseudomonadati; Pseudomonadota; Alphaproteobacteria; Maricaulales; Maricaulaceae.
GCCGCCUUAGCUCAGUUGGUUAGAGCGCUAGAUUGUGGAUCUAGAGGUCUCUGGUUCGAUUCCAGAAGGCGGUA